GCUGCGCUGAACUGCGGUGCGCUGCCCGCGGUGGUUAGCGAGCUGAAGAGAGCAGCGGUACGGGCUGUCCUUCCUUUCGAGGCUGACCCUUCAAGCAAAGGAGGAGGCAGAACUUCUGGCGGGCGGCGGCCCCGAGCCCCAGGCAGAGGCAAUCUGUUGGCCCUCUUCUUGCACCUGGGAAAGCCAUCCCUGCAUCCCAGACAGGAGAGUGUCUGGAUAAUCUGUUUAAGGAGAGAACAGAACAAGUUUUGGAGGAAUGCUGAAGCCCUCUGGACUACUCCAAAGACUUCACAGAGAGGACUAGUCAUAACAGCCAGUACUUUCCAAGCUUGUAAGGGAAGCUGGCAAUCAAUAUUCUGUCCGCAGUGGUGUUUUUCUCUGCAGAGCUGUUGA
Molecule: long non-coding RNA, 393 nt
Filed under: Numida meleagris (helmeted guineafowl)
Lineage: Eukaryota; Metazoa; Chordata; Aves; Galliformes; Numididae
Description: lncRNA (ENSNMEG00000020663.1)
Source: RNAcentral